Molecule: ribosomal RNA, 426 nt
Filed under: uncultured bacterium
Lineage: Bacteria
Description: bacterial SSU rRNA
Rfam family: Bacterial small subunit ribosomal RNA
Source: RNAcentral
UGGGGAAUCUUGCGCAAUGCGCGAAAGCGUGACGCAGCAACGCCGCGUGGGGGACGACGGCCUUCGGGUUGUAAACCCCUUUCAGGAGGGACAAAGUGUGGGCGGUGAAUAGCCGUUCCACAUGACGGUACCUCCACAAGAAGCUCCGGCUAACUACGUGCCAGAAGCCGCGGUAAUACGUAGGGAGCAAGCGUUGUCCGGAAUCGUUGGGCGUAAAGAGCGCGUAGGCGGUCCGGUAAGUCGGUUGUGAAAACUGGGGGCUCAACCCUCAGAGGCCGACCGAUACUGUCGGGCUAGAGUCCGGAAGAGGCGAGUGGAAUUCCUGGUGUAGCGGUGAAAUGCGCAGAUAUCAGGAGGAACACCAAUGGCGAAGGCAGCUCGCUGGGACGGUACUGACGCUGAGGCGCGAAAGCGUGGGGAGCAAAC